CCUACGGGAGGCUGCAGUGAGGAAUAUUGGUCAAUGGCCGAGAGGCUGAACCAGCCAAGUCGCGUGAGGGAAGAAUGUCCUAUGGAUUGUAAACCUCUUUUGUCAGGGAGCAAAGUCACCCACGUGUGGGUGUUGGAGAGUACCUGCAGAAAAAGCAUCGGCUAACUCCGUGCCAGCAGCCGCGGUACUACGGAGGAUGCGAGCGUUAUCCGGAUUUAUUGGGGUUAAAGGGUGCGUAGGCGGGUUAUGAAGUCAGCGGUAAAAGCGUGGAGCUCAACUCCAUCCAGCCGUUGAAACUGAUUAUCUUGAGUGGGCGAGAAGUAUGCGGAAUGCGUGGUGUAGCGGUGAAAUGCAGAGAUAUCACGCAGAACUCCGAUUGCGAAGGCAGCAUACCGGCGCCCGACUGACGCUGAAGCACGAAAGCGUGGGUAUCGAACAGGAUUAGAUACCCGGGUAGUA
Molecule: ribosomal RNA, 459 nt
Filed under: uncultured bacterium
Lineage: Bacteria
Description: partial 16S ribosomal RNA
Rfam family: Bacterial small subunit ribosomal RNA
Source: RNAcentral